Molecule: ribosomal RNA, 1372 nt
Filed under: uncultured bacterium
Lineage: Bacteria
Description: bacterial SSU rRNA
Rfam family: Bacterial small subunit ribosomal RNA
Source: RNAcentral
GAUGAACGCUGGCUGCGUGCCUAAUACAUGCAAGUCGAGCGAACGGACGAGAAGCUUGCUUCUCUGAUGUUAGCGGCGGACGGGUGAGUAACACGUGGAUAACCUACCUAUAAGACUGGGAUAACUUCGGGAAACCGGAGCUAAUACCGGAUAAUAUUUUGAACCGCAUGGUUCAAAAGUGAAAGACGGUCUUGCUGUCACUUAUAGAUGGAUCCGCGCUGCAUUAGCUAGUUGGUAAGGUAACGGCUUACCAAGGCAACGAUGCAUAGCCGACCUGAGAGGGUGAUCGGCCACACUGGAACUGAGACACGGUCCAGACUCCUACGGGAGGCAGCAGUAGGGAAUCUUCCGCAAUGGGCGAAAGCCUGACGGAGCAACGCCGCGUGAGUGAUGAAGGUCUUCGGAUCGUAAAACUCUGUUAUUAGGGAAGAACAUAUGUGUAAGUAACUGUGCACAUCUUGACGGUACCUAAUCAGAAAGCCACGGCUAACUACGUGCCAGCAGCCGCGGUAAUACGUAGGUGGCAAGCGUUAUCCGGAAUUAUUGGGCGUAAAGCGCGCGUAGGCGGUUUUUUAAGUCUGAUGUGAAAGCCCACGGUUCAACCGUGGAGGGUCAUUGGAAACUGGAAAACUUGAGUGCAGAAGAGGAAAGUGGAAUUCCAUGUGUAGCGGUGAAAUGCGCAGAGAUAUGGAGGAACACCAGUGGCGAAGGCGACUUUCUGGUCUGUAACUGACGCUGAUGUGCGAAAGCGUGGGGAUCAAACAGGAUUAGAUACCCUGGUAGUCCACGCCGUAAACGAUGAGUGCUAAGUGUUAGGGGGUUUCCGCCCCUUAGUGCUGCAGCUAACGCAUUAAGCACUCCGCCUGGGGAGUACGACCGCAAGGUUGAAACUCAAAGGAAUUGACGGGGACCCGCACAAGCGGUGGAGCAUGUGGUUUAAUUCGAAGCAACGCGAAGAACCUUACCAAAUCUUGACAUCCUUUGACAACUCUAGAGAUAGAGCCUUCCCCUUCGGGGGACAAAGUGACAGGUGGUGCAUGGUUGUCGUCAGCUCGUGUCGUGAGAUGUUGGGUUAAGUCCCGCAACGAGCGCAACCCUUAAGCUUAGUUGCCAUCAUUAAGUUGGGCACUCUAAGUUGACUGCCGGUGACAAACCGGAGGAAGGUGGGGAUGACGUCAAAUCAUCAUGCCCCUUAUGAUUUGGGCUACACACGUGCUACAAUGGACAAUACAAAGGGCAGCGAAACCGCGAGGUCAAGCAAAUCCCAUAAAGUUGUUCUCAGUUCGGAUUGUAGUCUGCAACUCGACUACAUGAAGCUGGAAUCGCUAGUAAUCGUAGAUCAGCAUGCUACGGUGAAUACGUUCCCGGGUCU